Molecule: small nuclear RNA, 215 nt
Filed under: Erinaceus europaeus (western European hedgehog)
Lineage: Eukaryota; Metazoa; Chordata; Mammalia; Eulipotyphla; Erinaceidae
Description: 7SK RNA
Rfam family: 7SK RNA
About the family: 7SK was discovered as an abundant small nuclear RNA in the mid-70s but a possible function has only recently been suggested. Two independent studies have found that 7SK RNA binds the CDK9/cyclin T complex (known as elongation factor P-TEFb).
Source: Rfam by way of RNAcentral
GGAUGUGAGGGUGAUCUGGCAUCCCAAAGUUUCCUGCUCCCUCAAAGAGGAUGGCCUUCCCUGAAUAGAGAGGACUGCUUUUGGUCCAGGGUUAUGUAAGUAGCUGCGCUCCCCUGCUAGAACCUUCAAACAAGCUCUCAAGAAAGGAAAGGAAAUAUGAAUAAAAACACAUAGGAACAUGUUGACCAGAGGGAAUGAAGUCCUUCAUUUUGUUC